UGUGUGUGUGUGUGUGUAAACAUGUUUAAGGCACACAGAUUUUAUCAUGCAGCCUACCACACAAAUGUCACAUGAUUUUCUCUCUGAAAGCUAUACUUGUAAAUGUUGAAAAGUCAUCAUCUCAUGACAUCCUUAGGAGUAGUUAACAAACAAAGGUUAACUGUUUUUAUAACCUGAGGCCUUCUCU
This is a long non-coding RNA of Notothenia coriiceps (black rockcod), 187 nucleotides long. RefSeq lists it as uncharacterized. Lineage: Eukaryota; Metazoa; Chordata; Actinopteri; Perciformes; Nototheniidae. The record is from RefSeq and is a predicted model, not a curated record. The transcript has 3 exons.